RNAcentral lists this ribosomal RNA (269 nucleotides) under uncultured prokaryote. RNAcentral describes it as "partial 16S ribosomal RNA". It matches the Rfam family "Bacterial small subunit ribosomal RNA", at positions 524 to 792 of the family's 1533-position model. The record is from RNAcentral.
UACGGAGGAUCCAAGCGUUAUCCGGAUUUAUUGGGUUUAAAGGGUGCGCAGGCGGGAGAUUAAGUCGGCGGUGAAAUUUUGCAGCUCAACUGUAAAAGUGCCUUCGAAACUGGUUUCCUUGAGUGUAGAUGAAGUAGGCGGAAUUUGUGGUGUAGCGGUGAAAUGCAUAGAUAUCGCGAGGAACUCCGAUUGCGCAGGCAGCUUACUAAACUACUACUGACGCUCAGGCACGAAGGCGUGGGGAUCAAACAGGAUUAGAUACCCUGGUA